This 253-nucleotide ribosomal RNA is filed under the name uncultured bacterium. RNAcentral describes it as "partial 16S ribosomal RNA". It matches the Rfam family "Bacterial small subunit ribosomal RNA", at positions 524 to 776 of the family's 1533-position model. The record is from RNAcentral.
UACAGAGGUCCCGAGCGUUGUUCGGAUUCAUUGGGCGUAAAGGGUGCGUAGGCGGCGUGGUCAGUCUGCUGUGAAAUCCCGGGGCUCAACCCCGGAACUGCAUUGGAUACUGCCUUGCUAGAGUACUGGAAAGGGAACUGGAAUUUACGGUGUAGCAGUGAAAUGCGUAGAGAUCGUAAGGAAGACCAGUGGCGAAGGCGGCGCUCUGGAACGUUUCUGACGCUGAGACACGAAAGCGUGGGGAGCAAACAGG